RNAcentral lists this ribosomal RNA (327 nucleotides) under cf. Phlebia sp. CBS 118.16. Its description in RNAcentral is "partial 24S ribosomal RNA". It matches the Rfam family "Eukaryotic large subunit ribosomal RNA", at positions 1 to 320 of the family's 3401-position model. Lineage: Eukaryota; Fungi; Basidiomycota; Agaricomycetes; Corticiales; Corticiaceae. The record is from RNAcentral.
UCUGACCUCAAAUCAGGUAGGACUACCCGCUGAACUUAAGCAUAUCAAUAAGCGGAGGAAAAGAAACUAACAAGGAUUCCCCUAGUAACUGCGAGUGAAGCGGGAAAAGCUCAAAUUUAAAAUCUGGCGGUCUUCGAUCGUCCGAGUUGUAGUCUGGAGAAGCGUCUUNCCGCGCUGGACCGUGUACAAGUCUCUUGGAACAGAGCGUCGUAGAGGGUGAGAAUCCCGUCUUUGACACGGACUACCCAGUGCUUUGUGAUGCGCUCUCAAAGAGUCGAGUUGUUUGGGAAUGCAGCUCAAAAUGGGGGAAAUUCCAAUAAAGCUAAG